CAUCUCAGGGCCAUGGCACGUGCUGCCUCCAGCACCCUCCUCUUAUGGCCCCCACAAAGCAGGCCCUGGGGUCCCCUGAGGCCUAACAGCCCCUGCUGGGCCAUGCCAGCCUGGAGCCUGCUGGAUGGUCCCUUUGAAACUGUCUGCACUCCACAAGCCUUACCAGGAAGCAAACAUUCAUUCAGUGCCUCCUAUGUGCCAGGCACCCAGCUCUACCCUUGCCUUCCACGUGGAUGGUCCUCUCGGCCCAGUGAGGCUGCAGGGCUCAACACUGUCUUCAUGUGUGGCAUCAGGACUCAGGGAGACCAAGAGACAUGGCCAAGAUGAAAGGGUUAGAGGUCGGUGGAGUUGGAAUCCAACUCAAGCCCUUUUGGACCCCAUGGAGAAGCUGUCACCGUGAAUGUUGAUUCAUCUGAAUUUACAGGUUGGAGCCUCAGCCAGGCCAGCCUGGGACAAGGUGAUCUAAGACAGGAAGGGUGUCAUGGAAGCAUGGAGAGUGACCUCAGUGAUGCUUCCUCCCUUAACAAGCACUAAACAUUCAGAAAAAUGAUGGGCUUGAAGUCUUCUCUUAGGCCAAGAGACAGGGUGCUCAGAUGUGAGCUGGCAUUGCCACCUGCCGCCUAUGCCUGCCCGUGUCCCAGGGACGCUCCUCGGCAUUGCAGAGCACACUGAGCGUGGUGGCUAUGGGCAGACAUGGGGAAAGGCAGAGAGGCAGCUUCAUGGUGCCAAGGGUUUAGUUUCCAAUCCAAAGGCCACGCAGAUCUACAGCAGGGAAACCAGAUUCUGCCAGAUCAGAACCCUAAACACUGAGCAGACCCAGGCCAUAGUGCCCUGGUGUCGGCCGCCAGGGAGCUGUGCUCUCACCUACAGCCCUCUCCUCCACCUCCUGCCAAAGGCCCCCACCCCCGGCCCAGCACUCACCAGCCAUCUUGUUGCAAGGUUGACAAAAAGCAGUGUAGCCAGGUUUUUCUGUCAGUUGCCUCAAAUAUUCAAAGCUUUGUGUUCACCAGCAUGUCCCCUCACAUCCAUGUAAUUCAGCAUUUGUGAGAAUCACUUUAAUAAUAAACAGUAAAUUAACCUAAA
Long non-coding RNA from Heterocephalus glaber (naked mole-rat), 1083 nucleotides. Lineage: Eukaryota; Metazoa; Chordata; Mammalia; Rodentia; Bathyergidae. The record is from Ensembl.